This 57-nucleotide ribosomal RNA is filed under the name Lodderomyces orthopsilosis. RNAcentral describes it as "Candida orthopsilosis partial 28S ribosomal RNA". Lineage: Eukaryota; Fungi; Ascomycota; Pichiomycetes; Serinales; Debaryomycetaceae. The record is from RNAcentral.
UUCGACCUCAAAUCAGGUAGGACUACCCGCUGAACUUAAGCAUAUCAUUAAAGCCGG